UACGUAGGGUGCAAGCGUUGUCCGGAAUUAUUGGGCGUAAAGAGCUCGUAGGCGGUUUGUCGCGUCUGCUGUGAAAUCCCGAGGCUCAACCUCGGGUCUGCAGUGGGUACGGGCAGACUGGAGUGCGGUAGGGGAGAAUGGAAUUCCUGGUGUAGCGGUGGAAUGCGCAGAUAUCAGGAGGAACACCUAUGGCGAAGGCAGCUCUCUGGGACGGUACUGACGCUGAGGCGCGAAAGCGUGGGGAGCGAACAGG
This 253-nucleotide ribosomal RNA is filed under the name uncultured bacterium. RNAcentral's name for it is "partial 16S ribosomal RNA". It matches the Rfam family "Bacterial small subunit ribosomal RNA", at positions 524 to 776 of the family's 1533-position model. The record is from RNAcentral.